CAGCUCCAUACAGCAUACGGAACCUCAGCGAUCCCUCCCUCACUCAGUAUGAGCUGGACAAUCUUACGAAACACAAGCGCUAUGAAAUCAGAAUGAGUGUCUAUAAUGCUGUUGGUGAGGGACCAACUAGCUCACCACAGGAAGUCUUUGUUGGCGAAGCAGUUCCCACUGCCCCGCCUCAAAAUGUGGUCAUCCAAUCAGCUACUGCCACACAAUUUGAUGUGACGUGGGACCCGCCUCCGCUGGAGACUCAGA
This is a long non-coding RNA of Sinocyclocheilus rhinocerous, 255 nucleotides long. RefSeq lists it as uncharacterized. NCBI's taxonomy places the organism in Eukaryota, Metazoa, Chordata, Actinopteri, Cypriniformes, Cyprinidae. The transcript has 3 exons. The record is from RefSeq and is a predicted model, not a curated record.